GCGUUCCGUAAGCUGCGAAGGUGCCUUGUAAAGGGUGCUGGAGGUAUCGGAAGUGCGAAUGCUGACAUGAGUAGCGAUAAAGGGGGUGAAAGGCCCCCUCGCCGUAAGCCCAAGGUUUCCUACGCAACGUUCAUCGGCGUAGGGUGAGUCGGCCCGUAAGGUGAGGCAGAAAUGCGUAGCUGAUGGGAAGCAGGUCAAUAUUCCUGCACCAUUGUUAGAUGCGAUGGGGGGACGGAUCGCGGAAGGUUGUCCGGGUGUUGGAAGUCCCGGUCGCUGCAUUGGAGAAGGCGCUUAGGCAAAUCCGGGCGCGUAAUUCAAGGGUGUGGCGCGAGCUCCUUCGGGAGCGAAGCAAUUGGAAGUGGUUCCAAGAAAAGCUCUAAGCUUCAGUCUAACGAUGACCGUACCGCAAACCGACACAGGUGGGCGAGAUGAGUAUUCUAAGGCGCUUGAGAGAACUCGGGACGAAGGAACUCGGCAAAUUGGUACCGUAACUUCGGGAUA
This 501-nucleotide ribosomal RNA is filed under the name Burkholderia cenocepacia. Its description in RNAcentral is "bacterial LSU rRNA". It matches the Rfam family "Bacterial large subunit ribosomal RNA", at positions 1236 to 1743 of the family's 2925-position model. Lineage: Bacteria; Pseudomonadati; Pseudomonadota; Betaproteobacteria; Burkholderiales; Burkholderiaceae. The record is from RNAcentral.